RNA transcript from Poecile atricapillus (Black-capped chickadee), 1702 nucleotides. It is a transcript of the gene named chromosome 16 C12orf43 homolog, with no coding region annotated. The transcript has 9 exons. The record is from RefSeq and is a predicted model, not a curated record. NCBI's taxonomy places the organism in Eukaryota, Metazoa, Chordata, Aves, Passeriformes, Paridae.
AUGAAAUUCGGGUAUGGGGAGCUGUGUCAGACUACAGCUCCCGGCGUGCUCUGCGGCUGGACUACAGUUCCCGGCAUGCGCCGCGGCCGUACCACAGCGCCCAGCGUGUCCCGCGCUUGCAAGAUGGCGGCGCCCAGGGGCGGCUCGGGCCCGGACAGCGACACCGGCUCGGACUCGGACAGCGGCGGUGAAGCGGCCGCGCGGUUCCGGGAGGCUGCCUGGGACUGCACCGCGCAGGCGGCGGCGGCGCGGGCGGAGCCGCGCGGCGGGGGCUUUAGAAAGGAUCGGUUGCAGCUUAAAGAUCAGCCAAGCCUGAGGCGUGAGGCAAUCAGCCAUGAGGAGGGUGACAAUGAGCUCCAGACGACUCCAGAGUUCAGAGCACACGUUGCAAAGAAACUGGGAUCCAUGCUAGACAGCUUCAUCACUGUCUUCAAGGACCCAUCAGGACCGUCACAGACUUUGGUGGCACAGUCUGACUCUGAGGAUGAUGGUUUUCGCCUCUUCUCUUCCUCUGUCCCUGGAGACUCUGGGAAACCGGAGCCUUGCCCUGCAGCAAGGAGGAGGAGGCCAGUUAGCUCCAGUGACUCAGACAGUGACCAAGAGUGGCAAAGGUACCGGGAGGCUGCCGUGUCACCUGCGGAUAUUCUGAAGCAAAGUGCUUUUCCUGCAUUGUCCCAGGGUUCCAGCCAGGAUCAGAAUCAGAGUUAUGUAGAGCCCAACCAGAAAAAAAAAGAAAAGAAAAAGAAAACUGGGAGACAGAACAAUAUUCAAGAGAAAAUAAUAGACCCAGCAGAGUGUGACCAGAUCUGCAAAGAUUUGCCUCAGUUGGUGUCUGCAAAUGGCCAACAGGAGAGACAGGACAGCAAUCACAGAGAGAACUCUGUGCUGCCAGGAGCUGUGAAGAAGAAAAAGAAGAAAAAAGAAUGAUGAUUUUGCUCUACAAACGGCAGGUGGUUGUGAUGGGUGAGGGAAACUGAAAGAAAACCUAACAACAAGAUUUGCUGCAGAUGAGGGAAAAUUAAUUGGCAAAGCUUCUGCUCUAAAAGCUCAGUGGCCUGAGAGACUAAUUAAGUGACUUCCUGUGCUACUGGCAUCCCCAAGGAAGGGAACAUUGUUCUCCUCACACAGCAGUUGUCUGUGCUGCUGCUUAUGCAGGCCCAAUCUGAAAGGAUUAAAUACUGUGCCAGACUUGCAUGGCAGAGGGAUGUGAUCAUAGCUGCAUUCCUCCUGGUCUGUUCUUCAUAUCGUGAAACUCUUCUGGAGAAAGUAUAUGAUGAAUUGAAUUUGGUUUACAUGGCAACAGACAAAAAGCUUUAAGGAAGCUUUAGUAAGAAUAUGCACCAAGAGGUUAAACACUGGGACAAACUACCUUGAUAUCAGUUCUAGAAGACAGACAUAGAAGAUUUUCAGGACCUCGUGAAAGACUAAUUUUCUUCAGCAAGAGACCAGAAAGCCAGCAAAGUGGGAGAAGCCUUCAUUUCCCUGAGGUGGGUUCUGAAUUGCUGCUUUGGACCAGACCCUGCUCAAGCAGAGGUUCAGAGCUGUGAAGUGCUCAGGACCAUCCCCCGGCCCUUUCCUCUGGAGCUGCUCCACAACCCAGAGCCCAGCCUGGAGCCGGGCUGGGCAGAGGGAAGAUCUGCUCUGUGCCCGGAGCACCACGUCCCCUCCCUGCAGGGAGUUAACAAAGCUCUAAUGGAUACGA